CCCAACAGCAAAAUCCUCCAACUCUCCACUUUCCACCAUCCCCUUCAACAGCAAAAUCCUUCAACCCUAUGCAAGACCUCUCCAACUCGCUACAAGAAUUUUCAUCAACAUAACUUCCACCAAAAUUAUCAGCUCAAAAUUGUUAACAUACUUCACUCAGCAAAAAAUUCUAAAGUGCGGAGCUGUUCUUUUACUAAGAAGCCUGGAGUAGAGCGAAACUGCAGAGACAAGAAAGCUGCGCUAAUUCACAACUCGGGAACAAAGCAGCGUGCGCAGACCUCAAUAUCCAAUUCAGGCUGGGAGAAAAUGGACCUGAGCAGAGACCGCUGCUCUUCCACGGCCAGCGGGUCACUGAUUCUCUUAGGAUAAAAUGGAGGAGAAGCAAUGUUCAAAUUGGAGGUUACUUGUUUUCUGGGAACUACAUCAGCGGGAACGUCAUUGUUGUUCUUAAAGGGUCUGAGGCUCAUGUACAGGGAAAAAUAGGGUUGCAAAUAUGGCUUGGAGAGUAAUGUGUAUAGAGCUUAAGCUUUACAGAGGCCAUGAUCGCGACGUCGUUUCGCAAUUCGUCAAGCGAGCGGGCAGCAGCCCAAUUCAUUCUAAAAGCUAAGUUCUACUGCCUCGUAUGAGUAUAACAAUGUUUGAUGCAUCUUAUGUAUAUGUGAGGGUUUGUGUUAAGCUAUUAUAGUUCGAUUCCUUUUUGUUUGUUUACAAAAUCCGUAUAAGUAUGGGUGCUUCGUGCUGGUAUUUGAUUCAUGUUGUUGUGUGGGGGGAGUCUUCAUGGCUUUCGGUUCUAAUUAUAGUGGAAUAUACUCAAGCAUGAAUCAUUCUAUCGUUGAAAGGUACCGAGAUGAUGAGGUUGUUGGGAUAUUUAAGUUUUGGUUAACUAAGUUCUUGACAUAGCUUUGUUAGCUCAUUUGCUGGACUGAUUCCUUAAAAUUCAUACAACAACUAGUUUAUCUCAAGUUUCCAUUCUUGUUCAUGGGCAAUUAUAGUUGGGAACCUUGUAAAUCAAAUAUGGUUUAUGUAACAACGGUUGCUGAGUUGCUUUGCUUUGUGAUAGGGGAAAAUUUGGCAAUGCAGUGACUAGAUUAUCGACGUUUGCAAGCACCUGCAAUGAAAUAGCCAGGACAUCAAAUUUGGGCAGCGAAAUUCGUUGAUCUCAGCGAAGGGUGAAUUUUAGUUCAGGGCCUAUUCUAGCAUUUCAGUCCUGGGUUCGCUGCCGCGCACAAAAGACUUGUGACAGCCCUGUAUUUUAUUCGAGAAAGUUCUUGAGCUUGGAGGGACGUGUAGCAGCCCAGUUUUUUGCGGAAUCCAGAAAAACAUUAUGAAUUGACUAAUGAAGUUCCAAUGCAAAAGACUGUGUAUGAGAUUAAGAUGGGCUCAUAUUAUUGAAGAUGCACUCUCAGAUUCAGAACUCCUUGACAUACGAGGAGGUUGCCUUUCAAAAUCUAAAUCACGUCUUCGGUAACUCACACCCACCACUGAGGUGAACUAGCUGGGAUGACAAAGUCUCAGUUCUUAUGAUCACCAAGCCAAACAAAUUACUCUAGCGUCUCAACUCUAUGGGAUUUAUUGAUCUUGAUAUAACGAAGUUUCCAGCGCUGUGCUGUUAUGCUUUGCUCUUCACCAGCGCUGUUGCGCAUUCUUUGUUCUUCACCAGGUCAAUGCCAUAUACCGGUACAUCUCAUUGCCUGCACUGAAUUUUCAGCGUUGAUAAACACCAAUACAAGACGAAGCUAAGUUAUCUCUGUUCACUGUGUUAAUUCUUGAUGAAUUAGUUACUUUCUUUGGCUGUGCUUGUUGAUUGUUGGUUAAGUUGGUUGGGACAGGGUGUAUACUCGGGUUUUAUGAAGUUUAAUUGGCUGAUAUGCAUUCUUUUCACUGUUUUGGCCGAGUCUUCCUACUAGAGAGAUCCACAAGAGGGUAGCGCUGCGCUGAAGAACGCCAUGGCUCAGCCUAAUUUGAUGAUAUUUAAUAUCUCGUCAGCUGCGUUGAUGCAUCGCAGGGAGGGCAGAGGAGAGGGCUCACCCUUCUCCUCUAAUUGUUGUUCAGCUGCGCAGCCAGCUCUGGCUUGCCCUUCUCCUCUGUUGUUCAGCUGUACAGCCAGCUUUGGCUCGCUCCUCUCCUCUGAGACCCUGAUCAUGUUCAAGCGAUCUGCGCAGUCGCCCUGAUUAAGUUUUCGGUGAAGACAUCAAGGCAGCGCAGGUACUUCAUGCGAGUGGAGUACUCCUUCCCGUCUUUAGGGUCGAUAUGGAAGCUGAUUGCGAGACAUACUUCUGCAUGGAACAUGAAGGCAUUGGGGAGUGAAUAGAGAAGAAACACCAUUCCUUUGAACAUCCGAUAUGAUUGGAAGACCUAUAGGUUAAUUAUAGCUCAAUAUCAACUGUUUUAUAAUUUACCUGACACGGUGUUUUUGCCUGUUGUGUCAUCAAUUGUUGGGUUGAUUGUUAAGGUUGCGCUGAUCAUGUACAUUGAACUCAAUUCAUGAUUUGGGUGCUGUUGUAUCACUCUUUAACUUCAUGAGUUGUUUUUACUUUUAUUGGGAAUAUCAUCUUUUGCAUGUGCAACAACAAUGGGGGAUUGAAUAAAACGGGUUCUGAACUUUAAU
This is a long non-coding RNA of Salvia miltiorrhiza (redroot sage), 2608 nucleotides long. RefSeq lists it as uncharacterized. NCBI's taxonomy places the organism in Eukaryota, Viridiplantae, Streptophyta, Magnoliopsida, Lamiales, Lamiaceae. The record is from RefSeq and is a predicted model, not a curated record. The transcript is spliced from 3 exons.